UAACAAAAUUUAACCAUCUUUUUGAAAAACAAAAAUUAAACAAUUUAUAAGUAAAAAAAAACCCAAAACAAGAAACGCACAUAAUUAAGCAGCGCACAAUUAAAUUGCUUAUUGCUUAUUCAACCCUCAACCGCCGCUACACAUCUGCACCACCGUUCUGUUGCACCGACCGCCAUCUGACUGCUUCGCAACCUCCGGUGGGCGCCAGCUUCCAAAUUCUGAGAAUAAAAUCGAAAUUAAUCAGUUACUGAAAGAAAGAGGUUUGGAGUAGAAGACAUGGUUGAAACCGUACCCAAGCAGGCUGUAAGGAGUAAGACAGAGAAAGAGGGGGAAAAGAAAAAUGAAGUGAGUGAAAUAAUAUUGAAUUUGCAGAUGAUUCGCAGUCUUUUCCAGGUUCAAAAAUGCAUCUAGAUCAAUGGUCUUUUCUCGACAAUGCCACUAACUGAACGUUGAUGAUGGUCUACCAAGGUCUUGAUGUCAGCUCCUCAAAGCCCUCACCUAGUGAUAUAAAGGUGCCUUUGAUUUAGUUUUUUCCGAAGAAUUUAUUGUUGGUUGUAUUCAGAAUUUCAGAUACUGAAGCUCCUCCAGUUGUGCAAACAGUUAAGUAAAAUCACUCCACCACUGAAUCUUAAACUUGUAUUUCAACUGUAAGCUUUUGAAAAGUACAAUAUAUGCAAUGGGACAUGGUAAAAAGUGAGGUUUGCCUUACUUUCAUCCCACAUCCUAGAUUUUACCACUCAACACUCAGUGUGCAGUUGUCUGAGUAUAUUAGUGGUUUCACUCAUUAAAAUGUUAAGUGAUAACAGCUAAUAGUCAUUUAAGUUAACUCAAAAUAGAUCACAAGUUCUACUUCGCAUCCUUGAGGCUCAAAUUUCAGCUGAUGGGACGCUAAGAUUUCAGUAUUUGUGUUUUUUCUAUAAUGUGUAUGGCAAAUUUUGCCACCAAGUUACGGUGUCUCUUGGCCUCUCUUUAUUGGGUGCAGUAGCAUUUCUUUUGCUGGUAAUUCUCACUGCUUCAAAGCUCCAUAAAACAGCCUAAUAAUAUUGUCUACUUAACUUUGUGGUUAGACCUUGGGGCUGUUGGCAAUGACAAUGGAAAAAAAGUAGCUUCCUUUUAUUUCUGAUUUACUUCCUGAGUGUGAUUUUUCAGCUGCUGAAAAUGUGCAAAGAUUAUUGUCUGUGUUUGUCUGGCGAUAUCCUAAGUUUGGAAUAAAAAAAGACUUCAACUUCUUUUUUUAAAUUGUAUCCCUUAAGAACCGUACAGGCACCUUUAGUUGCUAGCUUAUUCUAUAUAUAUAUAUAUAUAGCUUAAUCUAUAUAUACAUGGUUUCCUUUAGUCAUCAAUUUACGUCGUGAGCCCCUGUAGCCUUAGAAUUGAUUACGCCCUGAUUUUCUGAUGCUAGGAGGUUUACCUUUUUACUUGCCCAAUAUGUAAGUAAAGUUUGAAAACCCCUUCUUUUUAUUUUUUCAUAGAACUCCCAACAUCCUUUUGGAACCUGAUUGCAACAUCAUUCCAUAGCUUGGGUGUUUCUGUAUGACACUAUGGCAUGUCUGCUCAGUUACUGUCCCGUGUUUAGUUGACAUGUCAUGAGUUAAUGCGCACGGAUACUUGGUGCCAUGUGGCCACUGGCCAGUGUGCCCACUCACUUGUUAGCUUUCCUAUGAUUGUCUCUUGGCCUUCAUAUGCAUCUAAUUGCUAAGUGCAUAUACUAAUAUGUGUACCAGCUUCACCAUCAUGCCAGUAAGUGCUUUGUCGCUGUUCUUAUUAAAUUAAAAUUUAGAAAUACACUAAGAAAAUCCAUUACUUCUUGUAUAUAUAUAAAAUUGGCAGGUAAAAACUGUUGCGUCUUCUAGUUUAUCCUGAUGGAAAGAUCUUGUUAUUACUCUCUUGCAGAUGUAAGAGUUGAUUCAUCAUUUGAUAAUACCUUCCUAUGAGAAUAUAACGUGAAAGACAGAGGGAGCUUCGGGUAUUAGGCUGUUUCGGAUUUUUCUCAUAAUAACGCAUUCAGUAGUUGUGCCUUGUAUUUCUGUUAUUUAUUGUAAGGAAAUUCUAAUUAUUAUUUGUUACGGGGAAAAGAAUUAUUUGGCCGUGCCCAACUACCCAUGUUGAUAUAUAAUCUGUGAUGAAUGACGAGGAUACUGUCACAAAAUAACUAAGUAUCAGAUAUUCAGAUCAACCAAACUGAACAAAAGAUAUUCUGAUCAGCCUUUCAUAUGUUUUAUGAUCUAUACUUUCUUGUGUAACUUAAUGAUGUUUCCUUUGAAAUUACUGGGUAUUGCUGUUGAUGAAAAAUCUUUCACGCAAACUUUAGUUAAUGUUCAUUGUGGUACUGUAUCGCCUAUAUGGUCUGUUGUCAGCCUGUAUUCUGAAUUAUCUAGUACUUGCAUGAUCGAAACUGAUCCUUUACUAUUAAGAUCUUAAAUGACUGUUCUGCUACUUCGUUUUUGUGUGAUUUUUGUUGAACCAGAACCUCUGUAGCUUUUAUGUUCCAUUGUUGAGAAGCUUGGCUGUGAUGUAUUACAUGUUUCAGGGAAUUCCGGAGUGCUGCAAGCUGAAGUUUCUCCAGUCGCGCGAACACCGACCUUUUGCUGCUCCUACUGAUGUGCAGGCUCAUUCAAGAACACCACAUGCUGAUUUUCUUGCUUGAUUAAUGAACCUGUACAAAGAAGGGGAAGGGUAUUGUUGCAUCAUGUUUUUUUCCCUUUCCAUUUUGUAAACGCAUAGAAGUAAUUGUAAAACAUACGUUAUUUUUAAUAUAUUUAAUGCUUGUUUAUGCAAAAAAAAAAAAUUUUUUUUUAAUAAA
Spinacia oleracea (spinach) is the source of this 2803-nucleotide long non-coding RNA. RefSeq lists it as uncharacterized. The record is from RefSeq and is a predicted model, not a curated record. The transcript is spliced from 3 exons. Lineage: Eukaryota; Viridiplantae; Streptophyta; Magnoliopsida; Caryophyllales; Amaranthaceae.